UUGAUCCUGGCUCAGAGCGAACGCUGGCGGCAGGCUUAACACAUGCAAGUCGAGCGGGCGUAGCAAUACGUCAGCGGCAGACGGGUGAGUAACGCGUGGGAACGUACCUUUUGGUUCGGAACAACACAGGGAAACUUGUGCUAAUACCGGAUAAGCCCUUACGGGGAAAGAUUUAUCGCCGAAAGAUCGGCCCGCGUCUGAUUAGCUAGUUGGUGAGGUAACGGCUCACCAAGGCGACGAUCAGUAGCUGGUCUGAGAGGAUGAUCAGCCACAUUGGGACUGAGACACGGCCCAAACUCCUACGGGAGGCAGCAGUGGGGAAUAUUGGACAAUGGGGGCAACCCUGAUCCAGCCAUGCCGCGUGAGUGAUGAAGGCCCUAGGGUUGUAAAGCUCUUUUGUGCGGGAAGAUAAUGACGGUACCGCAAGAAUAAGCCCCGGCUAACUUCGUGCCAGCAGCCGCGGUAAUACGAAGGGGGCUAGCGUUGCUCGGAAUCACUGGGCGUAAAGGGUGCGUAGGCGGAUCUUUAAGUCAGAGGUGAAAGCCUGGAGCUCAACUCCAGAACUGCCUUUGAUACUGGGGAUCUUGAGUUCGGGAGAGGUGAGUGGAACUGCGAGUGUAGAGGUGAAAUUCGUAGAUAUUCGCAAGAACACCAGUGGCGAAGGCGGCUCACUGGCCCGAUACUGACGCUGAGGCACGAAAGCGUGGGGAGCAAACAGGAAAGGAUACCCUGGUAGUCCACGCCGUA
Molecule: ribosomal RNA, 747 nt
Filed under: uncultured bacterium
Lineage: Bacteria
Description: bacterial SSU rRNA
Rfam family: Bacterial small subunit ribosomal RNA
Source: RNAcentral